ACAGGUGAGAGGCCUCACAAGUGUACACAGUGCGAGAAGGGCUUUUCUGAAGUUGGUCGCUUAAAAAUACACCUGAAGAUUCAUUCAAGGGAAAAGCCCUAAACAUCGAAGUGUGGUGUAAGGGCUUUUCCACACUGCCUCAUGCCAACAUGGAAUUCAUACAGGUGAAAAGCUCUGCAAAUGCAUUAAUUGUGCUUCUCCCAAAUAUUUAAGUAACCACCUGAGAAUUUGUGUUCUCUGUGUGGGAAGUGCUUUUCCAAAACAAGUGCAUGACAUUUUCACUAAAUGCUUCAUACCGUUGUACAGUGUGGGGUUGAGUUAAAUUGCCACCACGUACUGUGCAUAAUGCUAGUUUUUGAUUUUCAUGGCAAAGGUCAACUCCUACACAUAAAUAGCCUGACAAAUGUAUUCAUUGUGGGAAGUGUUUGAUGAAAGCAUCCAUUACAUGAUGUAGUUUGCAUAAUUCCUUGUAGAUUGAAGGGUGGUAUUUUGCGAUUAUGAAAUUGACUGCAACGUAAUUUGUUUGAAAGAACUGAAAUCUGUUUGGAUAUACUGUCAAAAGAAAUAUGUUUUUGUGUAUUGCAAACGUUUUCUGGAAAUAAACUUACUGCCAUUUCCAAUUAUUUUACUGCCACUUCAGAAGCUGUAAUGUGCCUGUCAAUUAAAGCCGAUUAUUAGACCUCACACACUACAGAGAUAUCAGUUGAGCAUCUUUGUUUUAGUCUUUAUUUUCCGACAUUGCACUGUCAAUUUGGCCUCUGCGAAAGACCUUGUAAAUUCCCUGUUCAAGAUGGCUCUGAUGAACAUAUGUUCUCUUUGUCUAACAAGACUAUAAUUGAAAAAAAACUUCAAUGCAUUUCAGGGUUAAAUUCCACUAUAAAUUAAUGCCUGUAUCUACGUUAUACUGGAUCUGCUUGUUAAUUGUGUCCUUCUAGAUUCAGGCAGUGGGUGGGUAUAUCCAGAACUGCCCAGGACUGGGUUUCCGCUUACCUGUCCAACAGGAAAUCUGCAUCACUGUUGGGGAGUUUGUUUCAUCAUCAGCUUGCUGAAGUGCAGUGUGUCCCAGUGAUCAAUUCUUGGUCCAAUUUUGUUCCCACUGUACACAUUUCCUGUCAUUGCUAUGCAAACGGAACCCUCUGUCUGUAUUUUAAGGCAAAUGAUUUGACUUGGCCAGUUUAUUAACGUCUCUUUCAGGACUGUAUAUCGCAAGGUUUUCUCCAAUUCUGACAAAAUGGAAUCUCUCAUUACAGGCCCACACCACACCUGUGUGUUGGUUUGUUUGCAUCUGAUUUUAGGCCCAUCAUAGCUAGGGAGUAACAAGACCAGGGCUGCGGUCGAAUAGUCAAAAGAAUUACGUCCUCUGUCUUUUCCUAACUACUUUUCCUUGACCUCGAUGGAAAAGGGCAUUUUUUGUGUUGAAAUAUGAUAGAAAAUUAUCUAGUUUAAUGCCACUCCCUGUUAGUUUAAAAAAUACCAUGAAAGCAACUAAUAUUUAAAUCAUGAUGUCGUGAUUUAACAUUUCUGCCAGCAGCACCCCCUGCUCAAAAUCUCUUCCUAUGCCCGUGGUAGCCAAUCCUGCCCGUGGGUCAGCACUUCAGCUGCGUCCCAGUCCACCCCCUAUGCAAAGAACUACGCCGCAUCGCCGGUAUUCAGAAGACGAGAACAAUGCCAUACCAUCCAAGAGGUAACCCAGUGGAGCGUUUUAAUAGGACACUCCUCCAGAUGUUGGGUACUCUGGAAAGCAAGAACAAGACUCACUGGAAGGAUUUCGUCAAGCCGCUGGUGCACGCGUACAACUGUACGAAAAACGAUGUGACUGGAUUUGCACCAUACGAACUGAUGUUCGGACGACAACCUCGACUGCCAGUCGACCUAGCUUUUGGCCUACCCAAGUCACACUCCCAGUAUGUGAACGAUCUAAGAAGUCGGUUGGAAGAGAGCUAUAAAGUUGCCACUCGUAAUGCGUUGAAAACCGCCGACCGUAACCAGCGCAGGUUCGACAAACGAGUCGUGGGCUCAACCCUUGAAGCUGGUGAUCGUGUUCUCCUGCGGAACGUCCGGAUAAGAGGGAAACACAAGUUGGCCGACAAAUGGGAGUCUGAUGUGCAUGUGGUGGUCCAACGUGCUGGUGACCUUCCUGUGUACACAGUCCGGCCUGAGAACAAGGAUGGUCCCCUCUGGACUCUGCACCGUGACUUGUUGUUACCCUGUGGGUUCUUGCCUGUGGCUGAACCUGAUAAGCCAGUCGUGCCAAAAGCUGUCCGCAGGCCUCGAACACGAAGAAGCCCUGACAUCGAGAACAAUGAAGGGUAUGAGAGAUCCCUCUGCUUCUGAGGAAGAUGAGGUCUAUGACGACUCAUAUGGAGAGACAGUGGAGGCUACCACUAGAAUUCUGUCAGACACAGGACCAGUGCAGACGGUGAGGAAUCAACCAACACAUGAGACACAGCACACUAUAGUUGUUCCUGUUGAGUUGCACCCUGCUCCAGUCGAACCUGAAAGAAAGAACUUACCUGAAGUUGAACCUGAAAGAAAGAACUUACCUGAAGCUGAACCUGCACUCUUCUGACUGCGAACUUGAGAGAGGAGACUCACCUGAAACGGUGUCGGAACAGGAACCUGGAGUUGGAGAACUUCCCGAACUUCCAGAAGACUAUCCAAACUUAAUGGAUGAACCGCCACCCAUCCUCUUGUAUAUGUCUGAGAGUGAAGAGGAAGAGACACCGGAAGGGAGUGGAGCAGUCGUUGCUAACACCCCUCCAAGCAACCAGGAGACAAUAAAUGAUCAGCAGAAUGGCAGGGAUAGCACUCCCAGACGUUCCCUCAGGAAAAACCCUCUGCCACCAGAUAGUUCAGUCUAUCAUGAGUUAGGAAACCCCCUGACUUCAGUCAUUCAGACACUGUUGCAGAGCCUUAGUGCAACCAUCACUACGGCACUAACCAGUCAGUUAUGUAGAUGCAACGGGACGUGCAUAGGUUCAAGAGGGGAGGAUGUAACCCAGGGUUCCAAGACACAAAUUGAAUAGAUAGUGAAACAAAGAAAAACAUUUUAAAUAACUAGUAGCAAGUAAAUAAGUAAAUUAUCAUUCAAAAUGGAGACAAAAGAAAAAGACUUAAUAAGGAAAAAUACAUUUUCUUUAUGUGCAGAAAGAUAAGUUGAUAGAAGGAUUAGACAACCAAUGCGGAUAAUGAUACUUGUUGUAAAUUUGUUGAUUGGUCAGUCAGAUGACAAGCCCGCCCUAACUUCCUCUGGUCAAGAUGGCUUGAGCGACAGCAGACAUGCGAAACUUUCUCUGAAAAAAUUAAGCUAAUUCGAAGUGAAUUACAAGUGAAUUUAGGAUACAAUUGCAGAUAUUUUUUUGAGGAGUGACAGUAACUUGAAAGGAAACAGAUUUAUGAAGAAAUAACGAAGAUUUGCAACGUUCUUCUAUCGCCUUGGGCGACGACCGCGUGAAAGAAAAUUUUCUGCAUUCGCCAUUAAGAUCGUUGAAAACCAAACUUUGAACAACUUUGAACAUAUUCCCUUGGCCGGGUUUUUUUUUUGUUGGAGUGUUGUUUUUUUGUUGUUGGAUUUGAACUGCUGUGCUGGAUCCUGGAUUCGUCCGCCCUGCUUGCCUUCCCUGGAGAGCUACAGCGGCGCGCGGACUGGCGAGCCACCCAUGUGAUCGACCUGCAAUUUUAAAGAGAAGGAAAGAGCUCAAUUGUGCCUUCUAAGAUGGUGGUAGGACAAGAGUUUGAAUUCUACAAACUGGAACUCAGCAACAAGUGGUCCAACAACCACACAGACUAAACUGAUUUGCACAGAUAGUGUUUUAGAAAAGUGUUUUGGUGUUAUAGUGUGAUAAGUUUCCUUUGCAUAGGUACUUUCAGUAGUACUACAUAAGGGUUUUGGUUUCAAAAUAAAAGUCCUAAAGUCUAAUUAGUGACAAAUCAUACUAGAACCAAAUAACUAAUAAUAGGGAUUAACUGAAACACAUCAAAGAAAUACUAAAAGUAUGGUUAAGGUAUAAAGAUAGGAAAAAUAGUCAAAAAUUAGUGGAACCAGAGAAAAUAUAAAUACAGACACAAAGUAAAAGGGCUUGGGACCAACUUGUAUGUUUUUCCUUUUUCCAUUUUGUAGAUAUGUGUGUUGUUGUUUAAUGCUUUCUACUUUGUAAUAAAAAACAAAGGGUACAAAGAACCAAAAAAGGGAAAAUUAAAAUUAAAAUUAAAACAAUCAUUCUCUUACCUUUGAAAUGCA
Anguilla rostrata (American eel) is the source of this 4240-nucleotide long non-coding RNA. RefSeq lists it as uncharacterized. NCBI's taxonomy places the organism in Eukaryota, Metazoa, Chordata, Actinopteri, Anguilliformes, Anguillidae. The record is from RefSeq and is a predicted model, not a curated record. The transcript is spliced from 2 exons.